CCUGGUUGAUUCUGCCAGUUGUCAUAUGCUUCGGUCAAAGACUUAGCCAUGCAUGUGUAAGUAUAAGCAAUUUUAUACGGCGAAACUGCGAAUGGCUCAUUAAAUCAGCAAUAAUUUAUUUGGUGGUAUCUUUACAUGGAUAACCGUGGAAAAUCUAGGGCUAAUACAUGCAAAUAGCAGCCCCGGCUUCGUGCAGGGGUGCGCCUAUUAGACUCUUUCCAACCUCGGUCGAAAGAUCGAGCUGGUGAUUCAUAAUAGUGUCGCGGAUCGCAUGGUUUCAUACCGGCGACGCACCAUUCAAAUUUCUGCCCCAUCAACUUUUAACCGUAGGAUAGGGGCCUACGGUGGUGAUAACGGGUAACGGAGGAUUAGGGUUCGAUCCCGGAGAGGCCAGCCUGAGAAACGGCUACCACAUCCAAGGACGGCAGCAGGCGCGCAAAUUACCCAAUCCGCAUAGCGGGAGGUAGUGACAACCAAUAUCAAUGCUGGGCUCUAAGAGCUCGCAAUUGAAAUGACUGUAGUACAAAAACCUCAGAGAGGAACUAAUGGAGGGCAAGUCUGGUGCCAGCAGCCGCGGUAAUUCCAGCUCCAUGAGUGUAUACAAAAGUUGCUGCGGUUAAAAAGUUCGUAGCUGGAUUUGGAGUUUGUUCGUGGUGCGGGUCUAGUACCCCCGAUCGAACGGCUCUCCUUCUGAAGCCAAUGGUUUCGGAUUUAUUACUUUGAAAAAAUUAGAGUGUUCAAAGCAGGUCUAUGCAGCUGAAUACAUUAGCAUGGAAUAAUGGAAUAGGAUUCAGGUUCUAUUUUGUUGGUUAAUAGAACUCGAAUAAUGAUUAAUAGGGACGAUUGGAGGCAUCUGUACCCCAACGCUAGGGGUGAAAUUCAGGAAUUGUUGGGUGACACACUAAUGCGAAAGCAUUUGCCUAGGGCGUUCCCAUUAGUCAAGAGCGAAAGUCGAGGGAGCAAAGGCGAUCAGACACCGCCGUAGUCUCGACCAUAAACUAUGCCGACUAGGGAUCCGAGAGGAUUCGUUAAUCGACUUCUUGGGCACCUUACGAGAAAUCAAAGUCUAUGGGGUCCGGGGGGAGUACGUUCGCAAGGAUGAAACUUAAAGAAAUUGACGGAGCGGCACCACAAGGGGUGGAGCCUGCGGCUCAAUUUGACCCAACACGGGAAAACUUACCAGGGCCGGACACAGUCAGGAUUGACAGCUUGAGAGUGCUUUCAUGAUUCUGUGAAUAGUGGUGCAUGGCCGUUCUUAGUUGGUGGUGUGAAUUGUCUGGUUAAUUCCGAUAACGAACGAGACCUCUGCCUGCUAACUAGACUGACUCAAUUUCAUUGGGGAUAGUCUUCUUAGGGGGACUGCCCGCGUUAAGCGGGAGGAAGUAGAGGCAAUAACAGGUCAGAGAUGCCCUUAGAUGUCCUGGGCCGCACGCGCGCUACAAUGACUGGAACAACGAGCUAUCCUAAGCUGAAGAGCAUUGGGUAAUCUUAAAAAUCCAGUCGUAUCGAGGAUUGGGGUUUGCAACUAUCCCCCAUGAAAUAGGAAUCCCUCGUAGGCGUAUGUCAUCAGCAUACACCGAAUACGUCCCUGCCGCUUGUACACACCGCCCGUCGCUCCAACCGAUGAAGGUUGCAG
RNAcentral lists this ribosomal RNA (1636 nucleotides) under metagenome. RNAcentral describes it as "SSU rRNA". It matches the Rfam family "Eukaryotic small subunit ribosomal RNA". The record is from RNAcentral.